UACACUCCUACGGGAGGCAGCAGUGGGGAAUAUUGGACAAUGGGCGCAAGCCUGAUCCAGCCAUGCCGCGUGAGUGAUGAAGGCCCUAGGGUUGUAAAGCUCUUUCACCGGUGAAGAUAAUGACGGUAACCGGAGAAGAAGCCCCGGCUAACUUCGUGCCAGCAGCCGCGGCAAUACGAAGGGGGCUAGCGUUGUUCGGAUUUACUGGGCGUAAAGCGCACGUAGGCGGACUAUUAAGUCAGGGGUGAAAUCCCGGGGCUCAACCCCGGAACUGCCUUUGAUACUGGUAGUCUUGAGUUCGAGAGAGGGGAGUGGAAUUCCGAGUGUAGAGGUGAAAUUCGUAGAUAUUCGGAGGAACACCAGUGGCGAAGGCGGCUCACUGGCUCGAUACUGACGCUGAGGUGCGAAAGCGUGGGGAGCAAACAGGAUUAGAAACCCGAGUAGUCCCAUG
This 451-nucleotide ribosomal RNA is filed under the name uncultured organism. Its description in RNAcentral is "partial 16S ribosomal RNA". It matches the Rfam family "Bacterial small subunit ribosomal RNA", at positions 332 to 799 of the family's 1533-position model. The record is from RNAcentral.